GCCUCCUUGGCUCAGUUGGCUAGAGCGCGAGUCUCAUACUGUGAUAUGCGGAUGAUUACGUCAUCUUAAUCUCGAGGUCGCAAGUUCGAGCCUUGCAGGGGGCA
RNAcentral lists this transfer RNA (104 nucleotides) under Armillaria luteobubalina. It matches the Rfam family "tRNA". From Rfam's summary of the family: Transfer RNA (tRNA) molecules are approximately 80 nucleotides in length. Their secondary structure includes four short double-helical elements and three loops (D, anti-codon, and T loops). The record is from Rfam by way of RNAcentral. Lineage: Eukaryota; Fungi; Basidiomycota; Agaricomycetes; Agaricales; Physalacriaceae.